UACGAAGGGGACUAGCGUUGUUCGGAAUCACUGGGCGUAAAGCGCACGUAGGCGGAUUUGUAAGUCAGGGGUGAAAUCCCGGGGCUCAACCUCGGAACUGCCUUUGAUACUGCGAAUCUUGAGUCCGAUAGAGGUGGGUGGAAUUCCUAGUGUAGAGGUGAAAUUCGUAGAUAUUAGGAAGAACACCGGUGGCGAAGGCGGCCCACUGGGACGUUACUGACGCUGAGACGCGAAAGCGUGGGGAGCAAACAGG
RNAcentral lists this ribosomal RNA (253 nucleotides) under uncultured bacterium. RNAcentral's name for it is "partial 16S ribosomal RNA". It matches the Rfam family "Bacterial small subunit ribosomal RNA", at positions 524 to 776 of the family's 1533-position model. The record is from RNAcentral.